RNAcentral lists this ribosomal RNA (301 nucleotides) under uncultured bacterium. RNAcentral's name for it is "partial 16S ribosomal RNA". It matches the Rfam family "Bacterial small subunit ribosomal RNA", at positions 509 to 809 of the family's 1533-position model. The record is from RNAcentral.
CAGUCGCCGCGGUAAUACGAAGGGUGCAAGCGUUACUCGGAAUUACUGGGCGUAAAGCGUGCGUAGGUGGUGGUUUAAGUCCGUUGUGAAAGCCCUGGGCUCAACCUGGGAAUUGCAGUGGAUACUGGGUCACUAGAGUGUGGUAGAGGAUAGUGGAAUUUCCGGUGUAGCAGUGAAAUGCGUAGAGAUCUGGAGGAAUACCGGUGGCGAAGGCGGCCCCCUGGACAAAGACUGACGCUCAGGUGCGAAAGCGUGGGGAGCAAACAGGAUUAGAGACCCCGGUAGUCCCUGUCUCUUAUAA